Molecule: ribosomal RNA, 402 nt
Filed under: Actinomycetes bacterium
Lineage: Bacteria; Bacillati; Actinomycetota; Actinomycetes
Description: Actinobacteria bacterium partial 16S ribosomal RNA
Rfam family: Bacterial small subunit ribosomal RNA
Source: RNAcentral
UGGGGAAUUUUGCACAAUGGGGGCAACCCUGAUGCAGCGACGCCGCGUGAUUUAGAAGGCCUUCGGGUUGUAAAAAUCUUUUGUAUAGGAAGAAAAUGACAGUACUAUACGAAUAAGGUCCGGCUAAUUACGUGCCAGCAGCCGCGGUAAUACGUAAGGACCGAGCGUUGUCCGGAAUCAUUGGGCGUAAAGGGUACGUAGGCGGUUAAAAAAGUUAGAAGUGAAAGGCUAUAGCUCAACUAUAGUAAGCUUUUAAAACUGUUUAACUUGAGAGAUGGAAGGGAAAGUGGAAUUCCUAGUGUAGCGGUGAAAUGCGCAGAUAUUAGGAGGAAUACCGGUGGCGAAGGCGACUUUCUGGCCAUUAUCUGACGCUGAGGUAUGAAAGCGUGGGUAGCAAACAGG